AUGAAGCAGAGAGAGAGAGGAGAAAGUUUUGAGAAUUUUAUGGUGAUUUUCUUGGUGAUUCUUCUCAUGGUUGAAGAAUUAUGGAAGGUUGAAGAAGGAUGUAGGGAGAGUGAGAAAUUUGUGGUUUUCAGGCAUAUUGCAAUGUUUUUGAAACGGGGCGGGGCUGAUUGUUUUGCGCCGGAUUUGAAUUAA
Molecule: non-coding RNA, 192 nt
Organism: Vicia faba (fava bean)
Lineage: Eukaryota; Viridiplantae; Streptophyta; Magnoliopsida; Fabales; Fabaceae
Source: the annotation of a GenBank genome assembly